UCCACUUUAUUCUAUUCUUGUAAAGCAGAUGAAAACCACGAUCGCACGAGCAGAUGAAAAUUUAAUACCUCCUGUUUAGUUCUAUAAUUUUAAUAUGUGAUUAAUGUGUAGAAUCCUCCUAGCUAGUGUACCAACCAUUCAGGUCCCCAUGCAUAUUUGUUUUAGGCUCCCUUGCAUGCGUUUAAAUAUGUUUAGGUCCUCGUUAAAUCUUUUGAUUAACCCUAUCUAGGUUGCCGACACGGUCGUUAGCCAAAGUUGCAUGGAGGCACACGCGUAGAGAAAGUUUCA
Molecule: long non-coding RNA, 288 nt
Filed under: Sorghum bicolor (sorghum)
Lineage: Eukaryota; Viridiplantae; Streptophyta; Magnoliopsida; Poales; Poaceae
Description: long non-coding RNA (SBIC_LNC007623)
Source: RNAcentral